Molecule: long non-coding RNA, 1456 nt
Organism: Ostrea edulis (European flat oyster)
Lineage: Eukaryota; Metazoa; Mollusca; Bivalvia; Ostreida; Ostreidae
Exons: 3
Source: RefSeq, a predicted model, not a curated record
UAUUAAAUUUCUAGUUCAUAUUUUUCGCUACUCAUUUCAUAAACUAUGGAUAGUUAUUACAUGUAUUGCAAUAUCACCAUUAGAGCCUAGUGGGAAACUGAUAUCAAUAAUAAUAAUUUUUUUAUACAACAUUUCUAGUGCACCACAGACCCAGUGAAUCCUAGCAUAAAGAAGGGUACAAACAGUUGGCUCCAGGGGCCCCAGUAGUAGUAGACGCUCUAUGGCUUCAUGGAACACUUUCAUCAGUCCGUGGAAAGGACAGGGCAGGAUCAAAAAAGAAGCCACAAAAGCCAGAAACCAUAAUCAAACAUCUAAUGGAUGGUUUCUUUACCAUCAAAGACCUAGUAGGAAAGGGGGGAACCAGCAGGUUUUUGGACAGCCCAGUAUACACCUCCCUUAAAUUGUAUGCCGAAGUGGUUUUGAAAAUGUGCUCAGCGUCAUUUAAUUCCGCAUGGAAUGAAAAGUUGUCCUCUGCAAGAAGGACACAGAAGAGACUCGCUGCUCAAGAACCAUCCGAAGGACCAUCUGUUGGACAAUAAUUUUUAAAGGACUAUUGUCAAAUAUAAUUGUGUUGAUAUAUGUUGUAAUUAAUCCUUAGAAAAUUUCUGUUUAAUGUUUAUUUUCCUUCAGGAAGCAAUCCUUCUAUAGGAGGACCACUGAUUAUCACUUUUACUGUGUGGAUUGUUUUGUUUAAUAAUUUUUUUCCUUCUGUAGAAUUAUUUGAUUUUUUGUUAAAUACCAAAUUCAUUUGGUUUUGAAAUACAUGUACUUUAUAUUUGAACUUAUAUGAUUCAUGUAUGUAUUUUUUGCUAGAAAAGUUAAAAUGACAGAAGAAAUUAUAAUUUGAAUUCCUGAAAGACUUGCAUUGUUGUAAUUCAUAUUUUAUUUGCAUAAUGAUAUAGUUCACUUGACAUACAUCUACAUUAUUUUUCAUAUUUGGAAAUUGAAAUUAUAUAUCAAAUAUUAAAGGGAUGUUUUGAUUCAAUUUUUUAAGUCUUCAGUUUGUGUAAGAAACUAAUGUAUAAUUGUUCUAUGAGUUGUUAGCUUUAACAGAUCAUACCAGGAUCAUGAUUUUUAAAAUGAGUUAUUAGCUUUAACAGAUCAUAUCAGGAUCAUGGUUUUGUUGCAAGUUGUUCUUUUACAUCAUGAUUAUGCAAUUUCCUGAGUUUUCCUCCGAUUAAGACAACAACAGCAUCGUUCCACACCUGGCACUGACAGACGACGCGACAUGUCAAAUGACAAUAAUACUGUCGCACACGAAGAAAAUGCAAGUGAAAUGUACACCAUCUGUUCUUUUGGGAAUAGUAAAUCUUUAAUUAUUAUCUUCCGUAAGGCCAAUACAACUCCUGUAUAUACUCUAUAAAAUCGUAGGCCUGCAAAAUAUUUGUGUACACAUGUAUAACCUACAUGUACGUAGCUUAUACGUCAGGACUCUUUCCUAGUCAGUGCAGUGUAA